CGUGCUGAGGCCCUGGCUUCUCGGAUGUUUGUUAAGUCUGCUUUUCUUUUGCUGAGGGUCUCUUAUGCAGACAGAAUAGCCCCUACGAUAUGCUUUCCAGUCUAUCAUGCUAUACCCAUACUACCUGCACAGUAGAGAGGUGCUAUAAAGAAAGGGAAGAGGAUUGCUCACCCGUAUCAGAAGAUUCCAGGUCUGCGGGGGAAGGCUUCACCAAGGAGGGAUUUCCAACCACAAAUCCCUCCCCAGCGGCAGUCAGCCCUUCAGUGAGGUCUGAGAGAGGCGCACCCAGGGCCGGUACCGGUGCGGGGAACCCAGGCGGUGCUGGGUAAAGGCGCCUGGAGGAAAACCAAAACAGAGAGAGAGGGGGGGGGGGGGGGAGAGAGGGAGAGGAGGCCGAGGGACAAGGAGUGGCCGCUGGGGGAGGGACGCGGCAGCGCGAGAUGGAGGCGAUGCUGAAGCUGUCGUGCAGGAGGAAGAGCACAGCCCAGGGGCUGCGACCCCGGCCUCCGGUCCG
Molecule: long non-coding RNA, 514 nt
Filed under: Gallus gallus (chicken)
Lineage: Eukaryota; Metazoa; Chordata; Aves; Galliformes; Phasianidae
Description: lncRNA (ENSGALG00010026021.1)
Source: RNAcentral